GCCUACCCGUGGUCUAGUGGUUUGAGUGUUGGACUAGAAUUCCAGAAGACCAGGGCUGAAAUCCCUGCUGAGCCA
Phrynosoma platyrhinos (Desert horned lizard) is the source of this 75-nucleotide non-coding RNA. The record is from the annotation of a GenBank genome assembly. Lineage: Eukaryota; Metazoa; Chordata; Lepidosauria; Squamata; Phrynosomatidae.